AUUGAACGCUGGCGGCAUGCCUUACACAUGCAAGUCGAACGGCAGCACGGGAGCAAUCCUGGUGGCGAGUGGCGAACGGGUGAGUAAAGUAUCGGAACGUGCCCAGUCGUGGGGGAUAACGUAGCGAAAGUUACGCUAAUACCGCAUACGAUCUAUGGAUGACAGCGGGGGAUCGCAAGACCUCGCGCGAUUGGAGCGGCCGAUAUCAGAUUAGGUAGUUGGUGGGGCAAAGGCUCACCAAGCCGACGAUCUGUAGCUGGUCGGAGAGGACGACCAGCCACACUGGGACUGAGACACGGCCCAGACUCCUACGGGAGGCAGCAGUGGGGAAUUUUGGACAAUGGGCGAAAGCCUGAUCCAGCCAUGCCGCGUGCAGGAUGAAGGCCUUCGGGUUGUAAACUGCUUUUGUACGGAACGAAAAGGUUUGGCCUAAUAAGCUGAGCUCAUGACGGUACCGUAAGAAUAAGCACCGGCUAACUACGUGCCAGCCGCCGCCGUAA
This 500-nucleotide ribosomal RNA is filed under the name uncultured bacterium. RNAcentral's name for it is "partial 16S ribosomal RNA". It matches the Rfam family "Bacterial small subunit ribosomal RNA", at positions 30 to 523 of the family's 1533-position model. The record is from RNAcentral.